GCAGACAAAAAUUUAAACCCUCGGUGUGAAUACAGCUUCAGACUGACUCAGACCAAUGACUGCUUACUGACGAUCUCUGUUUCCAACAUGGCAAAAUGAUGACGAAUGAAUUGCCUUCAUUUGGUUGGAGCUGGAAGUAAGCCAUUUUCACUACGUUCAACAUCUUCACCAUCUUCCCAAUUCAAACCACGCUGCUGGAAUGAGCACAGGUGUCUCUACACACUCAAGCAAGUGAGGGUCAUUUGAAAGGGUGAGGUUUUUGUUUGAACUGAACCAAGCAUUAGGCUGGUUAUUCGUGUUUCAGCUUAAAUCAAAACAAAUUUGUUUUUAAAGAAGAAGAAACAUGUUUGAUGUCAAACCGAGUAAAAGAAUCCAUUAAUUAAAAGUGGAAGACUGAAUAACUUGCCCAAGGUAAAACCUUUCUCCAGAAAACAUCUCUUGAAUUCAAAUAAGUGCCUCUAAUUUUUAAUUUUUUUAUUUUUUUGGCAGUUAAAUGAAAACAAAAUCCUACCAAUUAUCAUGAAUAAGCAGCUCGUAUGUUUGCAGGUCAAGGGCGGAGUCUGUACCUGUGCAUUUCUUCAGGCUGCCGGGGCGUUUUCCGUGCAUUCCCAGUUUACAGUUGAAGUUCUCCUCCCAGAAUUCAGCAAACCAAACGUUCCUCCUGUUGUUGGACAGCGAGCGGCUCCGGAAAUACCGGUCAAACGCUAAAUGAGGAGAAAUAAAAAGAAGAAAGAAACAACUGAUGAGGAAGAAUUUCCCCUUAGAUCGAAGCUUCACCACAGCUCCUAUAUCUCAUUAAAUAUGAGCGGGGUAGCAGAGCUGAAAGGGGUAACAGAGCGUGCCGGCGCUAAGAAAAAAAGUUCACGGCUGGGUAAUACUCUUUGACACACGGAGACACCUGUUAGGAGUGUGUGACUAGAAAACCAAUUCCACUGGACCAUUUUAAACACUUUUUUUUUCUCGAAAUAAUUGAACUCUUGUCUAAAUUUAGAGCUACAAAACU
This is a long non-coding RNA of Oryzias melastigma (Indian medaka), 1003 nucleotides long. RefSeq lists it as uncharacterized. The record is from RefSeq and is a predicted model, not a curated record. The transcript is spliced from 2 exons. Lineage: Eukaryota; Metazoa; Chordata; Actinopteri; Beloniformes; Adrianichthyidae.